UACUUGAUAACUUAACGGAAUAAUAACGUUAUAAUAAGGUUAAUUUUGCGUUAAAUCUUUAUGUUAAAUUUAGUGUUACUUCGAAAGUAGCGGUAUAAAUCAUCCUUUCAUUUUGUUACCUUUAUGCAACGUUGCCGUUGUGGUAACGCGACGGUUGUGGGUUCGAUCCCCACUCGGGGAA
RNAcentral lists this transfer RNA (181 nucleotides) under Heliconius melpomene (postman butterfly). Its description in RNAcentral is "tRNA HMEL013998". Lineage: Eukaryota; Metazoa; Arthropoda; Insecta; Lepidoptera; Nymphalidae. The record is from RNAcentral.